This is a long non-coding RNA of Labeo rohita (rohu), 4260 nucleotides long. RefSeq lists it as uncharacterized. The record is from RefSeq and is a predicted model, not a curated record. The transcript has 3 exons. Lineage: Eukaryota; Metazoa; Chordata; Actinopteri; Cypriniformes; Cyprinidae.
CUACCUAGACUUUGGUAUUUCCUACUUCCGCUGCAUUGACAAAAGUAUCAUUUUUUUUUUAAUUCAGACGUGGUUCCAUUGUUGCACAUUUUGUCUUUCCCAAACGCUGUUUUCACUCUUUCACAUUAGAUUCUUUCUCAAAUUAAAGCAGUUAGACGUUUACUGAAGACCCCUGCCGAAUUAGGUCAUCCCUACGCAAUGAGAUGACCUUUUGUUACAUCACUCUUUGGAAAAUCCGCAGUGAUGUAUUCUAUAAUUCAGACCGGUGAAGUGGAAUAGACUUACAUAACGAAAACAUUGCGCACGGCCGUGUGGUCUAAGAUGUAGAAACAUAAUGAUGGGUGAAUGCGGUCACUCCGUUCUCAUUUGGAGGCAGGAGCUUAUUGCAUCCUAUUGGAACUAUGCAUUUUUAUAAAAUGCUAAUUGCAUGCUUUUUUUUUUUUUCACAUGCAUACUCAUUAAACUCGUUCUUGUUUCUUCAGAUUUUUGUGGUUAAGUAAGUGAGAAAAAAUAUUUGACACUAUAGGCUUUCAAUACCAUUUUAUUGUGGUGGUUGGCCAAGUGGGUGUGUGCGUGUGCAAGCCAAAGAGCGCAUGAUGCAUUCUGACAGCUGUGCAUAGUAAAGAGAGAGAGCAAGACAAUCCGCCAAUCUGAUCGCGAGAGGCCAGGUUGUAUAAAAGGGCGGAGCUCCAGAGAAAACUUCCUCUUCAAGCUGCUACUUCAUUCGCUGGGCGCUCAUGCUGUUCGCAGUGUGGCUGGCACGCAGUCCUCUGCAUUUAAAGACCAACUUUGGCUGCUAGAAAUGCUGUAAUUUCUCUUCGUAGCCAAACUUUGAAGGUCCUGCUGGUUUUUCCAUUCCAGCUGUUUUUGGACUUUGCCUUGGAGCAACUUUGACGGAAUCAUCUCUCCUUUUCCCGAACAAGGUUCACUCUUCAACCUUCAGGAGGUUCCUUUAUAGCAGCGUCGUGCACAAAUCCAGCAGCGAUGAUCAUCAGGCUUGGCAGACUGACUCCUGGAUAUUUCCGUCUCCUGCAGAGGCAGGUAGCAGGUGAGAUUCAGGCCCCGACGCACGACCGCUCCGUCAACCAGAUCGCCAUGAUGCUGGCCAUCAUGGGCCUCAGCCUGUCCUACUACAGUGCCAAACAGAUGACUGAGAAGGUUCGCCACGAACCCGCCCCGUGAACUCGGACUGAUGGCGUCCGGUGAAGACGAAGCCAAACUGAAGAUGUUCAGAUGUCUCUGACUCUGUCACACUACCUUUCUAUAACCUCCAGGGAUCACACACACCACGGGACUUCCGCUUAGGGGUUCUCUUGCUUUAGUUUAGCUCUCAAUGGAUCUGGAAGGGGUUGUGGUCUGAGUUUUGAUAGUUGACUUGAUACAUGCAUCAGAGGGUCAGUCAGUUCUGCUGUAGGUUCAAAACUCAAGAGCUCAAUCUGGAGCUCAACUCUGAGCCAUAAUGUGUUUUAAAAGGGAAGGACCUCUGUGUUUGAGAUGUACCAAGCGACUAUUAAAAGCAGGCCCAAUGCACAAAAGAUGCUGUUGAGGAACAUCAAAGCCUUGAGGACUUAUAGUGGAGGUGCUGCUCUGUAAUACUACACUUGGUGUUAGACACUUUAGGAAAUUUACUACACAAAGAGCGUUUGAGGACCUUGUUAAAGUGACUUGUUCUUUACAAAAUAUCUUCAUAUCUUGUCAACCCUUUAGAUGUUAAUGCCGACUUUGUGUGCAAUUGCAUGAGUUUGAAGCAGUUUUUUAGUGAAACCAAUCUGUAAUGUUGUUUCUAAUACUUUUUUAUGAUAAUGUGAUUAAGGUGAAUGUACUGUAUGUUGUUAUAUUUUUAAGACACAAUGAUCAAAUAAAGCUGUGAAUAUUUUGAGCACAAUCAAGUCAUGGAAAGCAAAUCGUGACUCAAGAUUUAGAAGAACAAAUGUCAUUCCUGCUGAAUCGAGUUUUACGCAAACCAUAUGAAAGUUUUUCCUGUCGGCAAAAGCGUGCUGUUGAACAGGAAGUGGGCACAGCCUCAGGCAACAGCUUCCUCUAUCUGCACGCGAUAUGUAUCAACGAGCCUGCUGCAGAUGGCUUAAUGUCUGACCCGUUUACCAAAUUCAAUAAACAUCAAUUAAACAUUUGCACACAGAAUAACUUGAGGUGUGUCUGCUUUGUCAUUCCCCUCAAAUGCUAAGCAAGUUACGCCUGAAAUUUACUCACACAAGAACAAAAACGCAGAUGCUAUUAAGCUAUCAAGAUUUUUUUAAAAGCAUUAUGCUUUAAAUUGUGUUUGAAUGCCAUUUAUAUUACGUUGCAUUCUCACAGUUUCCAAAACGAAUGCUAUGAGGGUGUUAACUUUUUUUUUUUUUUUUUUUUAAGAGAAUGUUGCUUAAUUAAAUUAAAUUAACCAUCAUGUAGUGUUCUGGCCAUUUUAUCCUAGAGAGGAUUUUCCUUUACCUAAAAAAAAUGUUAGGUAAUGUUAUCACAUUAGACGGAAAUUUACAGACUUUCCAAAACAUCUCAAACAAUGAUGAUUUUGUACUUUUUGGGGAUUUUUGGGGGGAUCUUGUUACACUCAAAAAUGACUGACCUACAAAAAAUGCAUAUGACAUUACUACCAAAUUGAUUUGCUUGCUUUCAAUUAGCACAGGGCUUUUAUUUCUUUUUUAACUGAUUGAUUGUAGAAAUCAUUGAUCUGAGCGCAUGCACCACAGAAUUUUCAGUGAAAACUGACAAAAUGAUUCAAAAAUAAUGCUAUUUUCACUCAAAACCUGAGGUGCAUAAGUUUAGAUCAGUAAGGCCUAUGAUCAAUCAGCUCCAAAAACAAAUACAAACCUGUACUAAGUAAAAAAAUUAGUUGAUGACAAUAUCCAAUCCAAGAUUUGCUGAUACAGCAUUGCAAGAGAUUUACAAAUAAGUUUUAAAAGUCUGGUCAGUUUUUAUUUUAGCACAGUGGUGGUUUAAUGAAAUGGUGGUUUUAAAAAAAAAAACUUUCACCACAUGAGUGUUGAGGUUUGUUGCUGCAGUCAUGCAACAACAAUGUGCUACAAAUGUGUUGGCUAAGCAUUUGUGUUUGUCUAGUUGAGUGUUUCUAACCUUUCCACUAAAAUCCUGCAUGUUAUCAUAGAACCUAUAAUUUUUAUCAGACAGAUUUAGCACCAGUGCAAUGUGUUUGUGAGAUUACUUAGAAUGUUCUGAGAAUCAAAACCUUAUUAUAGUCAUCCUUAAACUCAGAAGUGUUUCCGAAACUCAAUUCUUGAGUCUGUUGAGCGUGUGAAGGACACGAGGAAGUUGGAAAUGUCAUGCAAUUUGCUUGCAUGCAUGCUGGUUAUGCUAUAAAUGGCUGAUUAGUGGUGGGAGGUGUUGCUGGUUGACUUUUUAAAAGUCAAAAGUUGAGUGUUGGGUCCUUAAAGAUGAAGCGUGCAAUUGUUUUAUGUUAUAAUACUUUGGUGUAUCUAAGCUAAAUAGUUUUUUUCCUCAACAAUAGUGGUACUUUCAAAAUAUUGCUGUUUGAGCAUGCAAACCAGUCUGGCACUUUGCUCAGUCAAACUGUUUUAAACAUUUACAUUUUUAUUUGAUGGAGCAGAAUUUAUACACUUCAACUUGCCUGCUUUAUUUUGGUUAAAACCUAAUGGUGAAGUGCAUUUCUGUAAGUCUAUAUUGUGUUUUUUUCAACUGCUAGCUUUUCCUUAUUAGCAAGCAGUUAAUGCAACAUUGCUGUCUGUAUGUGCUCAGAAGUGUUCGCAUGGAUGCUCCGGGCAGAUGUGAUGUCCUGUGACAGGCCGAGGCCGCAUUGCGUGCCACGUGUUAUUUCUGCCUAUCACCUUUAGCUCCUCCCUUUCCCAUGCUGCUCUCUGAUCACUGGGCAAAUUUGCACAAAAAACACUGCUGGGACAGUUUUAACAUGCUAGUUUAGGACAUGAAUCACAACAUGCUCAUCCCAUUGGUUGUCUGGUGAUGCAUCAUAAUGUCGUCGCAGUUGCAAGCUGCGGAAACGAAGGCAUGUGGAUCACGUUGGCGGCAAUGUAUUGCACAUGGUUGCUUUAAAAAAUGUUUAAAAAUAGAGAAAAAUAAUUUAAGAUGAGACCUUUUUUGUGUUUGUUUUGAUGGUGGUUUGUGGAUAUGAAAGAGGAAUCAGUGAGACUGAUAUUGUAUAUAUGAAUGUUUUAUAUCAGUGAAUGAGACUUUAAAAUAUGAAGGUCUAAAAUGUCAGUUCACUGACUUGUUUUGUUGCUCAUGUAAUGUUUAAUUAAAUUAAUUUCAAUCAUG